AUAAUUUUCAGGUUAUUACUGUCAGGAGAUGCCAAAACUGAGAUAGACACAUCAUAGAAAAGGUGUCAUCCUGGCCCUACUACAGACAGGACAAAAAUGUCUUCUGAGACAUUCGGGGUGCCAGAAUAGAGGCAGAACUUCAGAACCUCCCAUUCCAACCUGGAAUUCCUUCUGGACUGCAAAUUAGAGUUGAAAA
This 196-nucleotide long non-coding RNA is filed under the name Anas platyrhynchos platyrhynchos (common mallard). Its description in RNAcentral is "lncRNA (ENSAPLG00000020269.1)". The record is from RNAcentral. Lineage: Eukaryota; Metazoa; Chordata; Aves; Anseriformes; Anatidae.